This 482-nucleotide ribosomal RNA is filed under the name uncultured bacterium. RNAcentral's name for it is "partial 16S ribosomal RNA". It matches the Rfam family "Bacterial small subunit ribosomal RNA", at positions 30 to 507 of the family's 1533-position model. The record is from RNAcentral.
AUUGAACGCUGGCGGCAUGCUUUACACAUGCAAGUCGAACGGUAACAGGCCGCAAGGUGCUGACGAGUGGCGAACGGGUGAGUAAUGCAUCGGAACGUGCCCAGUCGUGGGGGAUAACUACUCGAAAGAGUAGCUAAUACCGCAUACGAUCUAUGGAUGAAAGCGGGGGACCGUAAGGCCUCGCGCGAUUGGAGCGGCCGAUGUCAGAUUAGGUAGUUGGUGGGGUAAAGGCUCACCAAGCCAACGAUCUGUAGCUGGUCUGAGAGGACAACCAGCCACACUGGGACUGAGACACGGCCCAGACUCCUACGGGAGGCAGCAGUGGGGAAUUUUGGACAAUGGGCGCAAGCCUGAUCCAGCAAUGCCGCGUGCAGGAAGAAGGCCUUCGGGUUGUAAACUGCUUUUGUACGGAACGAAACGGCUCUGGUUAAUACCCGGGGCUAAUGACGGUACCGUAAGAAUAAGCGCCGGCUAACUACGUG